AAGGCAGAACAACAUGACUGAAGGCGAUGAGGAACAGCUGAUCACCUGUGGAAGUCAUUUGUCCUAAAUUGUCAUGGACAGACCAUGUGCCUUACAGCAAGAAAAUUCUGUGAAUAAACAGGAAGCCAGCCAGCCAGGGAAGAUGCUUUUGUGAUAUAUCCCAGCAUGCUGAUGACCCCAAGGAGGACCACUGGAUACCUAGCAAGAUUCUCCCAUUGAGAAGCAUUUCUGUGAGCUCUGGAAGUCAGGUGAAAAGGAGAAGUCAUAAUCUAUGGCAGCAGCUAUGGGAAGGAAAAAGAAGAACUGAUUGAAGAGUGGCAACCAGAACCUCUUGUUCCUCCUGUCCCAAAAGACCAUCCUGCUCUCAACUACAACAUCGUUUCAGGAAAAACAUCAAGAAAAGGGCAGUAAGAAUGUUAUUUAAAAAUAUGGAGGUAAAUUUCAGAAGAAAAUGCCGAAAAUGUUUGCCUUUGGAAAACGAGAAUCAAGGGUGAGAAUGGAAACAUCUGCGUGAGAAGGGCCCCUCUCAUAAAAUGAAAACAAAGGACAGAAAGCAUUGCUGAGGGCUUAAGGUGUGGAUGAAAUGACACAUUGAAGCUGAAGAAUCCCCAUGUUGACAGCAUUCAAUCCAAGAAAAGCUCCACUGUACACAUGUUCUAACAUAUG
RNAcentral lists this long non-coding RNA (666 nucleotides) under Homo sapiens (human). RNAcentral's name for it is "novel transcript". Lineage: Eukaryota; Metazoa; Chordata; Mammalia; Primates; Hominidae. The record is from RNAcentral.